RNAcentral lists this long non-coding RNA (2000 nucleotides) under Capsella grandiflora. RNAcentral's name for it is "long non-coding RNA (CGRA_LNC001604)". The record is from RNAcentral. Lineage: Eukaryota; Viridiplantae; Streptophyta; Magnoliopsida; Brassicales; Brassicaceae.
GAAACCAAACCAUUCCAAAUCUUCAAAAGUCUCUGUUUUUUUCUCUCUUCUUCUUCUCCUCAAAAGCUUCAGUGUAAGCAAAUCACAAAUCAUCGUUAUUCAAAGAAGAAAACACUCGAGUAAGUUCUAAAUCUAAAUUUCCCUUUCUCAUACUUUUUUUUGGUUAUGAUACUAAACUCUAAUCUGACACAACACUGUUUCUCUUUUACAAUAACCAGAAUGUGGAAGACUGUUACUACGGAGGGGAGAAGAAAAUGUUGCAGACUUUGGAAUUUUGUUCCUAAGUAAGUUUAUAAAUUUCGAGUUUAUGUUCUUCUUCUCUAAUUGCUCUCUAGCAUAUUUUAUUGUAUUGUGAAAGAAAAAAAAACUAAUUUACGGUAUUGUUGUGUGUUUCUCUCUCCCUAGAUGCUCUCUGAUUUGUGGAAGCUGUUUCGAAAAGCCGGAGACUUUUAGAGAAUAGUUUCAUGAUCAACUCAAACGAUCAAGUAAGUUUCUAUAUUUGGAGUUAUCUAUCUAUCUGCCACGUAAUCUGAUUUUUUAAUUAAUUGUUAAACCUGGAUUAGUUUAAUUCGGUAGCUUCAUGAUCUUGUUGAUGUUGCUUUACUCGGUGUCUCAUUAUUAGUUUAUUUCUUCAAAAUUAGCUAUUUUUAGUUUAAUAUAUGUUCAAUAAAAAAACAGAGCCAUGCUUUUUUUUGUUAAGUGGAUUAUUAGUUAAGUGCUUCAAAUUUCACCUUGCAUGUAUAUAUGAUUUUCUUUAAUAGAUUAAUUUAGGAAAAAUGGUGUUAAAUAUUUUGAACUAAAUAAUAACAAAUGUUUUUUGACUAGAUGAUUAAAAAUUAACAAUUUUUUUUAUUACACUAUGAUGAAACUAAAUUAUUGUGUCAAGUCAAAAACUCAAAAACUAAAUUAGUUUUUAUUUUGUUUAUGUAAAGAAACUACAGCUGGAUAAAAAUAGAUGUUAUUUUGCUAUAUUAUAUGGUCCAGUCGCCGGAUAAAAAAUGGAGGAAGUCGUUUCAAAACGUAGAAGACUUAUGAUCAUGAUCAACUUAACGAUCCCAAGUAAGUUUUAAGUCGAAAUACGUAUUAUUUGCCACUCAAUUCUUUAACUUGAGGUGGCUUCAUGAUUUUAGUUGAUAACUUUACUGAAAAUUGCAUUGGAAUUAACUAAGGCUGUAUAAAUUAUUGCUAUUGAUAUCGUUGAUUCGUUAGUCCAAAUUUGCCAUUAUCAAGUGUGAUGAAGAUAUUGGCCAAAAUCUCUUUAUGUCAAAGGUCAUCGUGUUCUAGAAAAUUAGAUCCACGCAUACUUUUUGCGAAGUAUCUUUCUUUCUAGCAACCCAAUGUUUUAUAGUAUCUCAUAUUGACCACUUGAAUUUCACAUUGCAUAGAUAGUUUUUUGUUUAAUAGAUUGAUUUAAGAUCAUUAUUAUAGAUUUCGUACAUAGCGGGAAAUAUUUAUUAUAGGACAUAUGUGUGUGUAUUCUAAGUUUUGGUGGAACAAUUUGUUAACGUAUUCGUCCCAAAUUUACAAAAACUUUGUGCCUUUUUCGACCACACACUUACAAUUUAAGAUAGUGACAAAUUUAGUCAUUCAAUAUCGUUGUAAAAGAACAUCAAAUACCAAUAUGGUAAAAUUAAGGGGAAGCACAAUUGGCAAAGUCAGCUCUGGAUUCGGGGUUUGCUCUAAUCUCUGGUAGCGGUUCUCAGAAAAAAAGAAAGAUCGAGAAAUAUCAGAAGGAAAGAAUAGAAGGAAAUGGAAUCUGCUCUGGUCUCGGGUCUCAGGAAAAAGAUUGAGAUGAUAGACACUGCAACUAACUUCGGCGACAUAAAGAGAUUUUGGCCAAUACCUUAUUAUAUUUUGGUAACCAACCAAUGAAGAAAUUUUUUUCUAAUCAAUCUCUAUUUUUAUGGACAGUGGAUAUUAAUUCUGAAAGAAAUUUUAAAAGGCAUUCCAAAAAUAAUCUCAGAAAGAUAAUAAGUUUAUAUAGGCAAAGGAAAUCUCCG